RNAcentral lists this non-coding RNA (29 nucleotides) under Homo sapiens (human). Lineage: Eukaryota; Metazoa; Chordata; Mammalia; Primates; Hominidae. The record is from RNAcentral.
UGUAAUAUACCCAAAGAUGUGCAGUGGAU